This 497-nucleotide ribosomal RNA is filed under the name uncultured bacterium. RNAcentral describes it as "partial 16S ribosomal RNA". It matches the Rfam family "Bacterial small subunit ribosomal RNA", at positions 28 to 507 of the family's 1533-position model. The record is from RNAcentral.
GAUGAACGCUGGCGGCGUGCCUAAUACAUGCAAGUCGAGCGAACAGACGAGGAGCUUGCUCCUCUGACGUUAGCGGCGGACGGGUGAGUAACACGUGGAUAACCUACCUAUAAGACUGGGAUAACUUCGGGAAACCGGAGCUAAUACCGGAUAAUAUAUUGAACCGCAUGGUUCAAUAGUGAAAGACGGUUUUGCUGUCACUUAUAGAUGGAUCCGCGCCGCAUUAGCUAGUUGGUAAGUUAACGGCUUACCAAGGCAACGAUGCGUAGCCGACCUGAGAGGGUGAUCGGCCACACGGGAACUGAAACACGGUCCAGACUCCUACGGGAGGCAGCAGUAGGGAAUCUUCCGCAAUGGGCGAAAGCCUGACGGAGCAACGCCGCGUGAGUGAUGAAGGUCUUCGGAUCGUAAAACUCUGUUAUUAGGGAAGAACAAAUGUGUAAGUAACUAUGCACGUCUUGACGGUACCUAAUCAGAAAGCCACGGCUAACUACGUG